This 59-nucleotide transfer RNA is filed under the name Haemadipsa tianmushana. RNAcentral's name for it is "tRNA-Glu". Lineage: Eukaryota; Metazoa; Annelida; Clitellata; Hirudinida; Haemadipsidae. The record is from RNAcentral.
UUAUGUAAAGUGUGAAGCACAUUAAAUUUUCUGUUUAAAAGAGAGUAUUUCUACAUCAG